GCGGGUUUAGCUCAGUUGGGAGAGCGUCAGACUGAAGUCAAACUUCACCAUCUAUCUGAAGGUCAUGUGUUCGAUCCACAUAAACCGCA
RNAcentral lists this transfer RNA (89 nucleotides) under Lasiosphaeris hirsuta. It matches the Rfam family "tRNA". Rfam says of the family: Transfer RNA (tRNA) molecules are approximately 80 nucleotides in length. Their secondary structure includes four short double-helical elements and three loops (D, anti-codon, and T loops). The record is from Rfam by way of RNAcentral. Lineage: Eukaryota; Fungi; Ascomycota; Sordariomycetes; Sordariales; Lasiosphaeriaceae. RNAcentral also lists the same sequence under 1 other name.